Molecule: small RNA, 77 nt
Filed under: Flavobacterium noncentrifugens
Lineage: Bacteria; Pseudomonadati; Bacteroidota; Flavobacteriia; Flavobacteriales; Flavobacteriaceae
Description: Flavo-1 RNA
Rfam family: Flavo-1 RNA
Source: Rfam by way of RNAcentral
UUCUAGCCCUGAUGGGAAGCGGCAUCCUUUUGUGUAGCGCAGCGGAACAAAAGAUAUAGCGGACAGCAGGAAACAGC